UACUUAGGGGGCUAGCGGUGUCCGGAAUCAUGGGGCGUAAAGCGCGUGUAGGCGGCCCGGUAAGUCCGCUGUGAAAGUCGGGGGCUCAACCCUCGGAUGCCGGUGGAUACUGUCGGGCUUGAGUGCGGAAGAGGCGAGUGGAAUUCCUGGUGUAGCGGUGAAAUGCGCAGAUAUCAGGAGGAACACCGAUUGCGAAGGCAGCUCGCUGGGACGUGACUGACGCUGAGACGCGAAAGCGUGGGGAGCAAACAGG
Molecule: ribosomal RNA, 253 nt
Filed under: uncultured bacterium
Lineage: Bacteria
Description: partial 16S ribosomal RNA
Rfam family: Bacterial small subunit ribosomal RNA
Source: RNAcentral